CAGCAGGGCAGGCUAAGAAAGGGUCUCUGUGGGGUUGAGCUGCCAGCUGUGGUUAAACCACCACAAACUGGUACAUCUGAGAUCACAGAAAUGGAGCACAGAGCGUGCAUCAUGAUUCCUUGAAGAAAAAAUAGCUCCCGUUUGACACCAACAACUGGCAUGCAGUGUACAGAUACAUGAAUAUUGUCACAACGUUUUAUCAACAUGUGCUGAAAGUAUUCAUGCCAUAUAUAGUCCUGGCCUUCAUGACCUUACAGUAAGAAAAAUUCUUACAAUUCAAAUUUCUUAAAAUUCAAACUGAAAGAAAAAAUGUUUUCCCUGAUCCAUGCUCCCAGUCUCAUGUUGAUGAGCAGCAGCAUGUUUGUGGUGACCAACGCUUCUGUUGAACUAUGAGAUCCAGGGUCCCUAACACCACCUUUUAGUCUUUUUUUUUUGUCUCUCACAGUUCUUUCAGGGUGUCUAGGUUUCCAAAAUGUAUUUUUGUAUUCCUUUGGGUCUGGCAGUGAUCAGUGUCUCCAUUCUGUCCCACCUCUGUGAAUCUGUGAAUCAUCAGGUCAUUCUUUAUCCCUGGGUCUGGGUGUGUUGUGAAGCUGGAGGCAAUAUGCUGGGGUCUUGCUGUGUGCCCCAGACAUUCUGAGAGCCCUGUCCCUGCUUUAUGCUCCUGCUGGUGUCUCCAAACCCAGCCAUCUUCCAUUUCCACCACUCUUAGUCUUCCUAUCACAGUGCUGCACACCUUGACUAACAAAGCUGUGUGGUCAACAUCGAGUUAAUCCUGCCAAGGAGUCAUGCUUUGUUUCUUGAUCAUCUUUCAGCUCACCUAGUGCACUGCAUUUCAAUCUAAUACAACGUGCAACACAGGACAAAAUUUGAUUUUUAUGCAUUUUUCUACUUGUUUAAAACCCUUGGGAGCUUCUUUUCAUUUGCCAGGUAAGGUUGAUUUUAAUUUUCUUCAGCUAUUGAGAAUUAAAUUUGUACCUAGUCUUUGCCUACUGGAUAUGGUCGCCACAAUAAAUCACAUUUCUGAUUAGCUGCUCCAUUCUGAAAUAGAUAUUUGAGGUGAAAGGAAUCAACCUCUGAUGAAAAAUAUGGUUUUUUGCCAGCAGCAGUAAGAGAACUUAGAUUUGCCUACUCCAGUCAGUUGAAUCUUUGUUAGUUUAGGUUGCAGAAGAACCUUUUACAGAAACACAGCUGGAACCAUUUCCAAGUGCUCAGUGAACCAUAAAGACCCACAGCAUGCUCUGACUGUCCAACACUUGUCAAACACUUUCUGCUGGCCCAAGAAGGUACAGAAAACCAAUGGGACUCCAGCCUGUGAGGCAAUAAAUAAUGUGUAUAAUAAACUUGAAUAGUCUGAGAUUUAGAAUGCUUAAAAUGACUGAUCUAAAAAACAAGAUCCUUGCUGCCCUAUUCAAUAUGAUCUAGCACCAGAGAAGAAAGACAGUCUGCUCUCCUUUAACACUGUGGAUAUCCAAGGCCUGGGAGAUCUCAGCCAGAACUUGUACUUGCCUUUGGAGUGGAACAAACUGCUACCCCAGCCCUGAAAACUUCAGGAAGAUUGAGCUCUGAGUUUGGUGCAUCUGCAUCAGAACAAGAAUGAAAGUUCACCUGACUGUUUCAGGGUUUGUUUUUUGUUUUUUUUGGUUUGGUUUGUUUUGUUGUUUUUUUUUUUAGAGAAAGACAGAAAGUUGAAUAACUAAAGUAUGAUAAAAACAUCUGCUUUUGUUUGGGGAUGAGAGGAACAAACCACAUUCUUCCUUUUAUCUUUCCUCAAAAGCCCAGACACCUUCUGCUCAAACUGUAAUGGCUUGCAGUAUGUUUACCACUGUCGAAGCACAGAGGUGAGCAUCAGGUAUGCCACAGUUGGAACAGUUUCACCCUCUGACUUUUUUUUAAUAUAGCAGUACUUCAAACCCUUGGAAAUCAAGAAUGAUUUGAGUGUGGGAUAAAGGAUUCUAAUAUUGCACAAUGUAUGAGCUCUUACAAAAAGGUGCUUAGGGAUAGAUAUCCUAUGUGAACAGUAGGCUGUGCUUUGAGAUAUUACCUUCCAGAACCACUGGUUUUAUUUUAUGUUUCCUAAUCUCGUGGAAAGGAACCUUUUGGAAAGCUGUUGUUCCACUGUCUGGAUGAGGAGCAGCAAGUAGUUUACAAUGUUUAUGGAAAAAGGACUCAACCUUUCAUUUACAGCUGCAAGACAACACAAAUGCCAUGGAAAAGCAGUGUCCAAAACUGAGGCAAACAGUUUUUCCAGUGGUCACCACUGACUUGAAAGCCUUACAGAAGCAGCUGCUUCUGAAUAUCCUUUUAAGCCCAUUGAGCCUUGAUCCAGCUGUUAAAAAUAACAAUGUUUUUCAUCCUCCAUAAUAAUCGGAUCUCACUGGGCAGCGCUGGAGGAGCAGUUGCAUAAAAAAGCUUUGGUUACAUAACAGAAGUGCACUGUACCUCCCGAGCCCCAGGGAAGCCGGGCAGGUCUGUGUGGCAGCCUCCAGCCCUCACAGCUCCCUGUGCUGACACUGGCACCUGCCAAGGGGCUCUGGCAGCCUCACCCCUUUGCAGAGAGCUGCAGAGUAUUCUGCCACACCAGGGCUGGUGCUGCCUUGCCCUCCUGCAGAGGAAGGUCAUGGGAAGAGUGUCUGCAUCUCAUGAUCUGUGUAUUAUCUCAGUCCUCUGGUGACUCUGGCUUUGUACAGAUAUUCUGGGCUUGGCAGUCCUAAGCCUCUGCUCUCUCUGCUGCAGGGUCCCAGGGGGAGGCAGGGCACAGAGUGGGGCACUCGCAUUUCCUGAUGUUACACAUGCAUCCGUGCAGUCACCCUUCAGAGCCCCUCUGCUGAUGUCUGGAUCUCUGCAGCUGAGUGCCCACAACUCCCCUGGGAUGAUGCACCACUUCCCUUUCUCCUGCUUCCUCAGGAGCCAAGUUGACACCCACCUGGGAUAUGUUCCGUGGUGACAUUUUUGGAUUUAGAGAUCAGGUGCUCCCCAUCAGCAAUGCAAUUAAGUGCAUGCACAAGCUGAAACAUUCAGUCCCUCUGGAAGUCAGUAGGACAUUUCACACCAUUAAGUACUUCCCUGGAUUGGUCUCAGACUGUGCAUGAACUUUUCUAUUUCUCUUACAACAAGAUUAACUAAGAAUGAAUGAAAGUGGAAACAGCUAAAACUUUCUUUUUAAAGAAGCUGAAAACGAAGACAAAUAUUUCCCUGAAGAUUUACCAGCAGUAAGUUUGGAUAAAUUCUUGUGGAAAAAUAUGAGACCUAUUUCCACAAAGGUUUCCUACCUAUUUUAAACAACAAACUUCAGCUGAUAUUGUUUUGUAUGCACAGAACUGCACCACAUGCUGCAGUUGGGUUUUACAGGAUGUAAUAAUCCAGAGGCAAAGUAAUAACUGUCUUAACUAAGAGAAAUUAAUUUAGUUGAUCUUAACUGAACAUGUAGGCAAGAUGGGGUUUGUUCUAUUAUUAUCUCAUGCCAGGAAAACUCCAAAGAGUUGAGAGAAGAGACUUAUCCUGUGAAACACCUGAUAAAUGCACUGCACCUCAGGGCAUUUUUUUUUUAGGUCUUUGAAGUCACAUCAGCCUGGUUUGUGUGAAAUGCAGUAAAGAUGGGCACUGUUGGGCACUGUUAGCUAUUCUGUGUUUCAUUGCUCAGAACAGCUUUCUUUUUCCAAUGCUGACUGUGACUAAAGCCAACCUGCUGCUAUGAAAGGGUAAAUUGCCUCUUUGAGAGCCCUUUGGCAGAUACAGUGUGUGAAAAGAGCAUCCAGGCAUUUUGGUUACUCACCAUUAUACCACAGGAAUGUUGAAGAGUUUCCAGUUUGGAAAGCACAGCACCAGGACCACACCCUCUGAACAGGUUAAAGGAGGACAUUAAUGCUGGACUACUCAUUUUCCUCAAAAACUGCCUGUCCCUAAUCUUCAGUGGUACCCACCAUGGGCAGAACUCGGAGGAAGAUUGCCAAAAUCUGUGUUGCUGAAUGUGUGGUAGGUAGAAAGGCUGUGCUUGAGUGAAUGAUCAGUCUGAAGCAGGUGCCUUCAGAUGGAUGAGUGAGGCUCUGCUUGUCACCUGAAGCCUUUGGAAGAAAGAACCAUUGGAUGUUAUGCAGGUCCAGAAAGUCCAAGCAAGAGCAUCUCAGGACUUGCUGAGAAUGUUUGAUAAAUCUCAGCAGUAAAUAGAUUCAUCUGGGAAGAUCACCAGACAUUUCUCUUCUCUUUUCAGCUGUACAUGGGCUCUGUCAGAUGCUAUGGCUUCAGUGAGAUCUCUGAGAAAGCAAACCCAUCUCAAAUAAAAGCUCACAGGUCUGGAUUAAAAUCAUGGAAACUUAAAUUGGCAUAUUUCACACAGCCCUGAUAUUUUCCUUCCUCCUGACUGCAGUUUCUAUCAUUUAGGGUACCAUUUGCUCAAUUUAUUACAAUGUGCUUUUGGUUUCAUCCUCCCACUUUGCAACCUUGGUGCAUUUUGUUCCCAUGAAGGAUCACAAUAUAAAUCACUAGGUCAGGGAAUAAUGAGUUUAGUAUUUUUUAAAAGCCUCCCACUGUAAGUCAGGAUAUCGACUCAUCAUUCAGCAGGUGAUGGGAUAUAAUAAGGGGACAUUUUUUCCUUUAAUUGCUGUUGAAAAUGGAAGAAGGGCAACAGAAAGACUUAGUUUUCUGAGACAAGGAUCUCAGCUUCACUAGGCUUUAGUUCACUAGGAAUCACCUAAUAGGCUUGAGCAUAAAGAGCUGGACAAAGCCAAAAGGAAAAAUAAACUGAUGAAAGACUCCAGCAGGACUUUGCCUUCCUAGUCUGAAAAAUAGAUUAAAUAUGAUUAUACCAUUACGUAAAUAGACAGUGAGAAAAGGCUGACCUUGUGGUCUGUGAGUUGAAUGGAAUGGAGCAUCUCCUGGUUUCCAACCCUAUCUCUUCCAGACUUGUUUGCUCAUGACAGCAGGGGUGAAUGUUCAAAGAACCACAAACACAAAGGCCAGGAGAGACCUCACUGAACUGCUGCAAACCCAGUUAUGAGGUGGUUUUGCCCAGUACUUUCUGCACUGAGCCAGUUGAGUAUGGUGAAGGUGAUCAAGGACACAGUGGAUUUUUUUUCUCAGAUGAGAGGGUAAAGUGGUAUCAUAAGGUCUAAGGAAGGCAGUAGAAUCUCUCUCAGAAUCAAUAUGCAGAUGAAAAUCCUGCCACCAGGAUUUUGUGUCUCCCUGAGAGGAGAACUCUGAGUUCCUGCCUAGCCUUCAGUGGGAACAGAAUCAUCACCUUUUAACAAGCUCAUUCCUACCUGUGGCUGCUGCCAAGUCCACCCCUGGCCCAACCCAACGGAGUCACCCAGGGCCUGUGUCAAUGCCACCUCCAGCUACUGACCCUGCAGCCACCAAAAAGACAUCAAGAUUCGACAAAUAUUCUUGCAGGAGGAAAAACUGCCAGAAACUGUCCCUGGAGUAUCUCUCCCUUUGUACACUGAGGGAGAUGAGCACAUUUGCAGAAUUAAUGGGCUGUGAUGACAUCCCAGUGACCCUGAGAAAGUUACUGAUGCACUUAGAGACAACAGGGCAGGAUGACAGACAAGAUACUUGAAAUACCUGAAUCCUGCUCUGGCACUUCCUGAUCUGCAGCAAGGCUCAGCCCAGAAGGAAACUCACAUCAACCAGUCUGCAACUUCCCCUCCCAAGCUGAGCAGAGGGGAAAACCGAUAUGGAUCUUGUGUCAGCUGCUGUCUGCAGGGUGGAGAGCCUCUUGUCACUGGUUCAACAAAUCAAGCAAGGGGAAGAGCAGGCAAACGGGGCAAAAAAGCAAGAUGAUCUUGCAGUCGAUGCAGCAUCAGGAAGAACAGGAAGAGCUGAAGAGCAAGAGCAGUGCUUGUGGCAGGAUCUGCAGAACUCUUCACGCUGCAAGUGAAAGUAAGAGAGGAAGAGCAGCCCUUUGAAGUCCCCCCACCCUUCCUGUGUCUCAGCAACAGAGACAUAGAGAAGAGAGGUCCAAAUGCAAUUACUUUUACCACCAGGAUGAAGAGAAAUACCAUGUCAGUACAACAACAUGUUUUAUCAUCACCCUGUCUCCAAGUCCUACCAGGGCUCUGGUACAGUCCUGUGCAGUCAGAAUUGAGGGGGGCUUGCAAUUCAAGCAAGGCUGUAGGCACACCAGGGAGUUGAGAUUCAUGUGGCUGCAAGCACCUUGGAAAGGCUUCACAAGGCUGUGAAUCGAUUAUAGGCCACUUUCAGGGUCAUCUUGAUUAUAGAAAAAAUAAAUGCUGGGUCACCUGUUGUCAGAACCCAGGACAUCCCUCUGGGUGCCCUGGAUGGCCCGAGCUGCUGGCAGGGGGCUCUGAGAUCCUGGCAUGCAGCCA
Molecule: long non-coding RNA, 6320 nt
Organism: Motacilla alba alba
Lineage: Eukaryota; Metazoa; Chordata; Aves; Passeriformes; Motacillidae
Exons: 4
Source: RefSeq, a predicted model, not a curated record